UAUAUAUAUAUAUAUAUAUAUAUAUAUAUAUAUAUAUACAAAUAUAUUUACUGUCUAUAAUAUUGUAUAUAAUUUAUGGAAGAUAAUCAUUGCAAUUAUACACACGCGUUCCACUUAACGAUCGCAACACUCACGAUAUUAUUUCAUCCUUAUUGUUCACCGAAAGUUAAACAAAGACAGAUCAUGUUCGCGAGCGUUGCGGUCGUUAAAUGCUCCCAUACAUGCGAUGGUUGCAAUUUUUAAAUAUGGUUAUUCCAUAAAUGAUAAAUCAUGACUGUUUCUACCUCACCUCGUGUCCGUGUUGUUCGAGUUAUUCUACACGCUUAUAUGCGAGUGGAUAUAUUUUUGUAUAUGUCGCACAAUAUGUAUUGUAAAUAUAUUGGUAGUGAUAUAUAUAAAUAUUUAAUAACGUUGUUGUGAAUGAGAAUAUAACGUCGUGUCAACCUAUCCCAUUGUCCUAUGUCUAAAGUUUAAUUUAAAAAAUCUAAAAAAAAAAUGUAAAAUAUGAAACAAUUUUGUGGCAUUAUUUUAUAUACAUUAUUAUAUUAAAAUUAUUAUAUAAAGGCUAUUAAUUUUUCCAUUUUACACAUAACGUUAAAGUUAAAUAUACAUUGUACAAAAAAAAAUUAUAAAAAUAAUAAAUAGAGUUAAACUUUUUUUGCUGUUAUGUGCGCGAACUAUUUUUAUGCAUGUAUAUAUGUGUUGUAUGUAGGUGUUAAUAUGUAUUAUAUUUAUAUAAAAUAGAUUAAAAUAGCAAAAAUGAUAUGACAAAGGGGAAAAUACGUAAAUCUUUAUUAAAUUAAUAUCUUGUAUGUCGUAUAAUAAUAACAAUAAUGUCUAUUCUCGAAGAACACGUGGCAAGGGGUUGACAAGAAAUUCAAACAAGAGUGACAUUUGCGCAUGUUCGAUAUUUUUGGCGCCGCAGUGACCGGUGACGUUUCCCGCCCGCGACGCGCUUCACGCCUCACGCCUUCACGCGCUUGCAGUUUCGCGUGAGCUUGCAAUGGUGGAGGGCGCUUUGGCGAUCAGUGGAAAUCUCGAGAAUCUUUGUUGAAAGGCACGUGUAUAAGCGUGCAAAUUUAUCGCACAUCUCAUGAUAACUCAAACUAAGGAUCUUACGAAGGACACCGGCGAUAUGUCUACCUACGAAAGAUCGAGCGACACGCAUCAUCUAACGACGAUGACAAGAAUUGUUGGGGUGUGCACUGCUGUUGUUGUGUGCGGCGUCGGCGCGGAUGUGGCGUACCAUCGACACGUCAUGGGGCUUUACGUUACGGCGGCAUCAGGCGCGAUCUUCUUCCUUGAAGUAACUUGGGCCAUUACGUUAUUUGUACAACUCUGCGUCAGAAAUGAGGAUUCUCUCUGCUUGCAUUGUUGGUCCAACGUUCUGAAAACCACACGAGGCUGGCGAAGAGCGUUGCUGUACUUGCCGUUGUCUUGCAUCUUGGCAUGGAAACCCAAUAGACUUUGGCUCUCCUAUGUUGCGGAUACUGUUUGCAGCCGGUCUGUUGGCGGUAUUGUCCUUGCUGCAUAUUGCAUCGAGCGCGCUAGGACGACGAGAUCCUUGUCAAUCGAAUGCUGGGACUGAUUCGGUAGGUGAGAGUCUCUUAAACUCCAGACAGGACAAUUACGAUCGCUUCGAGGAAGUCUUAGUGACGGAAGUCCUCGAUGACGGCGUGUCAGGAUCAGGGCGCUGUCCCGGUGAUAGUGACGGCGAGAUAUGACACGAACGACGGCCCUCCUGGGCCAGCGAAUCCGAUGAAGAUAGUGAGAUUGAACAGAGGACAUGUCAAAUCGCCACAUUAUCUUAGUCCUUUGACCUGAGAAGUCUCCGAUUUGAUCCUGCAUCAAUCGAAAGGAAAUGGUUCUGCUCGUGGCAAGGAAAUGUGGCAAGGGAAUGUUAGAGACGCGCAAUGUCGAAAUGCCGAUCUAAAGUUGUGCAAAUUAAAUGAUCAAAAGUCAUUUUGUGUACGAGAUUUAGUUUAAAAAAAAAGCAAAAAAAAAGAGCAUAAAUUUACUGAAUUUACUGAUUUUUUAAUCUAAAAGAAUCUAAACUUGAUGAUGUAAUAAUGGAGAGAUGUAUAUUAUUGCAGUACGCGUGGAGGAAUAGGAAAAAAUCUAAAAAAAAAAUGCGCAAAUAUUUUUCUUAGAUAGAUAUUCGUUUCUUAGAUAGAUGAUGAUUUUCUAUGCAUUAUGUAUUUCAGAACGUAACAGGUACAAAUAUUAUAAUAUUAUAAUUGCAUGAUACGUACAAAACUAUAAAACUUCGAUAAGGCAAUCAUUUAAUAUCAUUCAUAAAUUAUUGUAUACAUGUUACACGAUUGCUAAUAAAUACUUUCUAAGAGUA
Cataglyphis hispanica is the source of this 2347-nucleotide RNA transcript. RefSeq lists it as uncharacterized. NCBI's taxonomy places the organism in Eukaryota, Metazoa, Arthropoda, Insecta, Hymenoptera, Formicidae. The transcript has 7 exons. The record is from RefSeq and is a predicted model, not a curated record.